GCCUUUGUGGUGUAACGUUUAACACACUCGACGCGUAUUCGAAAGGUCUAGGUUCGAGUCCAGGCGAGGGUA
This 72-nucleotide transfer RNA is filed under the name Stegodyphus mimosarum. It matches the Rfam family "tRNA". Rfam says of the family: Transfer RNA (tRNA) molecules are approximately 80 nucleotides in length. Their secondary structure includes four short double-helical elements and three loops (D, anti-codon, and T loops). The record is from Rfam by way of RNAcentral. Lineage: Eukaryota; Metazoa; Arthropoda; Arachnida; Araneae; Eresidae.